CCAAUAGCGUAUAUUAAAGUUGUUGCAGUUAAAAAGCUCGUAGUUGAAUUUCGGGACCAAUAUGUCUGUCGUGCCUUCGGUACGUACGGGUAUAAUUGGUUCCUACCUUCUGAUGAACCUUGAUGCCAUUAAUUUGGUGUCUUGGGGACUCAGGACUGUUACCUUGAAAAAAUUAGAGUGUUUAAAGCAGGCAUGCGCUUGAAUACAUUAGCAUGGAAUAAUGAAAUAGGACGUUCGAUUCUAUUUUGUUGGUUUCUAGGAUCGACGUAAUGAUUAAUAGGGAUAGUUGGGGGCAUUAGUAUUCAAUUGUCAGAGGUGAAAUUCUUGGAUUUAUUGAAGACUAACUACUGCGAAAGCAUUUGCCAAGGAUGUUUUCAUUAAUCGAGAACGAAAGUUAGGGGAUCGAAGACGAUCAGAUACCGUCGUAGUCUUAACCAUAAACUAUGCCGACUAGGGAUCGGAUGAUGUUAAUUUUUUAAUGACUCAUUCGGCGCCUUAC
RNAcentral lists this ribosomal RNA (499 nucleotides) under uncultured Glomeromycotina. RNAcentral describes it as "partial small subunit ribosomal RNA". It matches the Rfam family "Eukaryotic small subunit ribosomal RNA", at positions 591 to 1091 of the family's 1831-position model. Lineage: Eukaryota; Fungi; Glomeromycota. The record is from RNAcentral.